Molecule: long non-coding RNA, 449 nt
Organism: Saccostrea echinata
Lineage: Eukaryota; Metazoa; Mollusca; Bivalvia; Ostreida; Ostreidae
Exons: 2
Source: RefSeq, a predicted model, not a curated record
AAACAGACACUUCACAAUGAUUUUGUAUUUGGCAUUGGUUUCACUUCUUUGCCUUCCAUUUGCAAAUUCCUCAUUUGGUCGAGCUGUUUGUGGAACUCGGUCAUACAAUCCAAUGUUUGAUAUUUGCUGCAACGGAGUAAUAAAUAGAAAAGGCUCGGACACAAGUUGUUGUGGAACUAAAGCAUACAAUCCUAUGUUUUUUAAUUGCUGCAACGGAGUAAUAAAGAGAAAAGGCCAGGACACAAGUUGCUGUGGAACUAAAGCAUACAAUCCUAUGUUUUUUAUUUGCUGCAGCGGAGUAAUUAAUAGAAAAGGCUCGGACACAAGUUGUUGUGGGACUAAAGCAUACAACCCAACUUUUGACAAUUGCUGCAAUGGAGUAAUCUGUUAAAUAAUUGUCUAUUUCAAAAUCUAUUUCAAAAUAAAUCUUUCAGUUAUUUCACUAUAAA